UUUGUCUGGCUUUGGAAUUAAGGUGAUGCUGGCUUCAUAGAACGAAUUUGGAAGUACUCCAUCUCUUUCUAUCUUUCCAAACAGCUUUAGGAGAAUAGGUAUGAUUUCUUCUUUAAACGUUUGAUAAAAUUCUCCUGGGAAGCCAUCUGGCCCUGGACUCUUGUGUCUUGGGAGGUUUUUGAUGACUGCUUCAAUUUCCUCCCUGGUUAUUGGCCUGUUCAGGUUUUCUAUUUCUUCCUGUUCCAGUUUUGGUAGUUUGUGGCUUUCCAGGAAUGCGUCCAUUUCUUCUAGAUUGCCUAAUUUAUUGGCGUAUAGCUGUUCAUAAUAUGUUUUUAAAAUCGUUUGUAUUUCCUUGGUGUUGGUAGUGAUCUCUCCUUUCUCAUUCAUGAUUUUAUUAAUUUGAGUCUUCUCUCUCUUCUUUUUAAUAAGGCUGGCUAAUGGUUUAUCUAUCUUAUUAAUUCUUUCAAAGAACCAACUCCUGGUUCUGUUGAUCUGUUCCACAGUUCUUCUGGUCUCGAUUUCGUUGAGUUCUGCUCGAAUCUUUAUUAGCUCCCUUCUUCUCUUGGGUGUAGGAUCUAUUUGCUGUUUUUUCUCUAGCUCCUUUAUGUGUAAGGUUAGCUUUUGUAUUUGAGUUCUUUCCAGUUUUUGAAUGGAUGCUUGUAUUGCGAUGUAUUUCCCCCUCAGGACUGCUUUUGCUGCAUCCCAAAGAUUUUGAACGGUUGUAUCUUCAUUCUCAUUAGUUUCCAUGAAUCUUUUUAAUUCUUCCUUAAUUUCCUGGUUGACCCUUUUAUCUUUUAGCAGGAUGGUCCUUAACCUCCAUGUGUUUGAGGUCCUUCCAAACUUCUUGUUGUGAUUUAGUUCUAAUUUCAAGGCAUUAUGGUCCGAGAAUAUGCAGGGGACAAUCCCAAUCUUUUGGUAUCGGUUCAGACCCGAUUUGUGACCCAAUAUGUGGUCUAUUCUGGAGAAAAAGUUCCAUGUGCGCUUGAGAAGAAUGUGUAUUCAGUUGAGUUUGGAUGUAAAGUUCUGUAGAUAUCUGUGAAAUCCAUCUGGUCCAGUGUAUCAUUUAAAGCUCUCGUUUCUUUGGAGAUGUUGUGCUUAGAAGACCUAUCGAGUAUAGAAAGAGCUAGAUUGAAGUCACCAAGUAUAAGUGUAUUAUUAUCUAAGUAUUUCUUCACUUUGGUUAAUAAUUGAUUUAUAUAUUUGGCAGCUCCCACAUUCGGGACAUAUAUAUUGAGGAUUGUUAAGUCCUCUUGUUGAAUAGAUCCUUUAAGUAUGAUAUAGUGUCCCUCUUCAUCUCUCACUACAGUCUUUGGGGUAAAUUUUAGUUUAUCUGAUAUAAGGAUGGCUACCCCUGCUUUCUUUUGAGGACCAUUCGAAUGGUAAAUGGUUCUCCAACCUUUUAUUUUCAGGCUGUAGGUGUCCUUCUGUCUAAAAUGAGUCUCUUGUAGACAGCAAAUAGAUGGGUCCUGCUUUUUUAUCCAGUCUGAAACCCUGCGCCUUUUGAUGGGGUCAUUAAGCCCGUUCACAUUCAGAGUUACUAUUGAGAGAUAUGAGUUUAGUGUCAUCAUGAUAUCUAUUCAGUCUUUGUUUUUGUGGACUGUUCCACUGAACUUCUUCUUAAAGGGGAAUUUUAAGAGUCCCCCUUAAAAUUUCUUGCAGAGCUGGUUUGGAGGUCACAUAUUCUUUUAGUUGCUGCCUGUCUUGGAAGCUCUUUAUCUCUCCUUUCCAUUUUGAAUGAGAGCCUUGCUGGAUAAAGGAUUCUUGGUUGCAUGUUCUUCUCCUUUAGGACCCUGAAUAUAUCCUGCCAGCCCUUUCUGGCCUGCCAGGUCUCUGUGGAGAGGUCUGCUGUUACCCUAAUGCUCCUCCCCAUAAAAGUCAGGGAUUUCUUGUCUCUUGCUGCUUUAAGGAUCUUCUCCUUAUCUUUGGAAUUUGCAAGCUUCACAAUUAAAUGUCGAGGUGUUUGAACGGUUUUUAUUGAUUUUAGGGGGGGAUCUCUCUAUUUCCUGGAUCUGAAUGCCUGUUUCCCUUCCCAGAUUAGGAAAGUUUUUCAGCUAGAAUUUGUUCAAAUACAUAUUCUGGCCCUCUGUCCCUUUCGGCGCCCUCGGGAACCCCAAUUAAACGUAGGUUUUUCUUCCUCAGGCUGUCGUUUAUUUCCCUUAAUCUAUCUUCAUGGUCUUUUAAUUGUUUGUCUCUUUUUUCCUCAGUUUCCCUCUUUGCUAUCAACUUGUCUUCUAUGUCACUCACGCGUUCUUCCACCUCGUUAACC
RNAcentral lists this long non-coding RNA (2266 nucleotides) under Canis lupus familiaris (dog). RNAcentral's name for it is "lncRNA (ENSCAFG00845006679.1)". The record is from RNAcentral. Lineage: Eukaryota; Metazoa; Chordata; Mammalia; Carnivora; Canidae.